UACGUAGGGUGCGAGCGUUGUCCGGAAUUAUUGGGCGUAAAGAGCUCGUAGGCGGUUUGUUGCGUCGGCCGUGAAAACCUGCAGCUUAACUGUGGGCCUGCGGUCGAUACGGGCAGACUUGAGUUCGGUAGGGGAGACUGGAAUUCCUGGUGUAGCGGUGAAAUGCGCAGAUAUCAGGAGGAACACCGGUGGCGAAGGCGGGUCUGUGGGCCGAUACUGACGCUGAGGAGCGAAAGCGUGGGGAGCGAACAGG
This 253-nucleotide ribosomal RNA is filed under the name uncultured bacterium. RNAcentral's name for it is "partial 16S ribosomal RNA". It matches the Rfam family "Bacterial small subunit ribosomal RNA", at positions 524 to 776 of the family's 1533-position model. The record is from RNAcentral.